CGAAGAGCUGGCGGGGCGGGUGCACCCGGGAGCGCGAAGCUGCCAGUCCCCGCCCGCAGCGGAAAACGGGCGAGCGCGCGGUGAGGUGGGGAAUUCGGAGCCCACUGCGGAGAGACCCGGCUCCGGGCUCCCGGUUCCCGGCUGGCUUUUGGGACUGGUGUGGAUGGAAUCCCAGCUGCAAGGCGGCGGCGUUUUGAGAGCCCAUGCAAAGCACGGUAGCAGGACCAGGAACCAGAAGAGGACCCACCCUCCUAGCCCUGCUGGGGUGCCGCCACGGACACAGGUUGCUCCAUGCCUUCCCGAAUGAGGAAGGUCCACAGCUUUGGGUUGGUCAGGGCCAAGGCAGGGGAUAAAAGACGUGGGAAGUUCAAUAAGCAGGAAGCAGUCAGCCUAAAGGAACACAUGGAAU
RNAcentral lists this long non-coding RNA (409 nucleotides) under Homo sapiens (human). RNAcentral's name for it is "HSALNT0208217". Lineage: Eukaryota; Metazoa; Chordata; Mammalia; Primates; Hominidae. The record is from RNAcentral.